GUGAAUCAUCGAAUUUUUGAACGCAAAUUGCACUCUCUUCGGAGAGUAUGCCUGUUUGAGUGUCAGCCUAAAUAAAAUCGACAUAGUCGCUGUUUCGCGGUGACAUUCGUCGGAACUUGGGCCAUCUUAAACCUUUGGGUUUUAAGUGGCUUACACUUUUCUUUAUAGUUCCACGAACGUCUCCAAGAUUUACUUCUUAUACGUUUCAGGAA
Molecule: unclassified non-coding RNA, 212 nt
Filed under: Glomus sp.
Lineage: Eukaryota; Fungi; Glomeromycota; Glomeromycetes; Glomerales; Glomeraceae
Description: partial contains 5.8S ribosomal RNA and internal transcribed spacer 2
Rfam family: 5.8S ribosomal RNA (bases 1-65)
Source: RNAcentral